AGUGAACGCUGGCGGUAGGCCUAACACAUGCAAGUCGAACGGCAGCACAGUAAGAGCUUGCUCUUACGGGUGGCGAGUGGCGGACGGGUGAGGAAUACAUCGGAAUCUACUUUUUCGUGGGGGAUAACGUAGGGAAACUUACGCUAAUACCGCAUACGACCAACGGGUGAAAGCAGGGGAUCUUCGGACCUUGCGCGAUUGAAUGAGCCGAUGUCGGAUUAGCUAGUUGGCGGGGUAAAGGCCCACCAAGGCGACGAUCCGUAGCUGGUCUGAGAGGAUGAUCAGCCACACUGGAACUGAGACACGGUCCAGACUCCUACGGGAGGCAGCAGUGGGGAAUAUUGGACAAUGGGCGCAAGCCUGAUCCAGCCAUGCCGCGUGAGUGAAGAAGGCCUUCGGGUUGUAAAGCCCUUUUGUUGGGAAAGAAAAGCAGCAGGUUAAUACCCCGCUGUUCUGACGGUACCCAAAGAAUAAGCACCGGCUAACUUCGUG
RNAcentral lists this ribosomal RNA (492 nucleotides) under uncultured bacterium. Its description in RNAcentral is "partial 16S ribosomal RNA". It matches the Rfam family "Bacterial small subunit ribosomal RNA", at positions 29 to 507 of the family's 1533-position model. The record is from RNAcentral.